AUUUCACUAAUGGAAAACAGCUGACCUCACGUGGAGAAACAGAAAAGUCUGCAACAUCUUUAUUUUAAACUAUUUCUAUCACCAUCAAUAUAACAUCUCUCUUGCUUUUCAUCAUGUUUUUCCCAGCGUUACCACCGCCAUUGUUUCACCACCACCUUCUAGCUAUGUCUCAACCCACCUACUAAUUUGCCAUCCACCGUAAAGGCAAUUCAAACCACCACCACAGCCACCGUCGCAGCCACCCGCCAACACCGUCACUACGACCAGCCAAGGGCGAUCGCCACGUGCCAUCGGCACGUCCUCCACGACAUCGAUACACCACAGCUAUCGUCACAGCCACCUGCCAGUGCCACUCGUCACCGUCACUGUGACUCGCCAACGUCACUGCGACACGCCAAGCACCACCAUACUCACCACAGUCACACCCACCGUCACGCAAUGUAAAUUUGGUGGCGAUGGUGGAAGUGUGAUUUCCUUGGCCGACCGCUGGUGAAACUGUUCACCGAAGUUCGUAAUCAUCUAGCCGCCACCACCGCACCGCAGCUAACCACCGGUUCGCCGUCAACCACCACAAUGACCAUCGCAAACAACCACAACGCUCCACCUACCCUUUCUCUGUCAACUACCAUCGCAACCGUCUGAAAUCUCCACAUCCGUCGUUCGCCUAAGCUGCGCUGCCCGGGAAAACGUCGUGGCGAUAUCUACUGGGUGAACUCCGGCCAACAACGCGCAAAGCGGAGCCAUCGCCGGAACCGGCCACCACUGUACAACCGCCUAAUCUCGUCUCUCUGUCUUCAGCGGUGGUCGAGUCUGUGGUGCCUGCCAAAAUCCUGGUGGUUGAACGUAGGGUAACAUUGUCAUUUUGGAGCUCUUGACUUAGGGUCAAGCACUGUUCAUGCACUAUUACCCCGCCGCCCUUUGUGGCCAAUUGAAGGGCGCAACUAUUCCCUGCUGACGUCACAGGCUUGUGUUUGUAGUAGUUGAAAUUGAAAUGAUUGAAUGGGGCAUUAUGGGGGCGUUAUACCCACUACACCACUUUUGCUAUAAUGCCCCCUUGCUGACUAGGACGCCACAUGGCGCAAAACGCCCCAUGGUGGGGGCAUUAUAGUGUUUAACCAUUACGCAUGGUCUAAUAACAUUUUGGGUAGACUCUUGUGAACAGUAUGGUAAAUAGACAAAUUCAGGACAUUAUUUACGAUAAUGCCACAGGCCACGCCACCACCUGCUUAUCUCCAUCACAGCCUCCCCUCCGUCGGUAUCCCAAAGGCAAACCAGAUUAAAAAUAAGAGAUAGAGAAAACGGGAAGAUAGAAAGAGAGAUGAGAAAGUGAGAAGGGAGGGGCCGGCCACGGUUGUUCCGUGGCGGCACUACGGAGGCAACACCAUUGUACAUCCGAGCGACGGUGACGAUGUUGGACGGUGUAAUAGCUCACUGGUCGGCGUCAGAACAGUACCCGAGGCUGCCUCCGGUGAUGCGGCUACGGUGCUGGCAAGGUUCUUGCUUACCUCGGUUUUAAGGCGCCGCGCUCUUUCCAAGGCCACCAUCAAUUCCGGAUUUGCGAUGUUCAUCUAGGAUCCCAUCUACUAUUGCACAUUCAAACGGUAUCCGUUUCUUUUCCGGACAUCAGGUUUAGGCUUCAAUUAUGUAGACAGAUUGCAAAUUGUAUGAUUUUCCGUGCAGGUUAGAGAUGUGAUAAUCCCUAAUUUGUUAACUUCAGUCUGCUUUACGAUACAUAUUCUUCAAAUUAGUUUUGAAUUUUUGAUGAAAUGGAAGCAGCCGAAGAUCUUGAUGUAGUUCAUGAUAAGUAUCUUAACUCAAUCAUUUCUUGUACAACGGUCUCAAUCUCUUUAUAAAGGUAUAUUCGUGAUGUUCAAUUUUAUAUUUCUUUGCCUUGAUAAGUUCUCCUAAGGGUGAAGGGGGUGCACACCUAAUAGGUGAGUGCACUCUCUUACGCCAAACCAAUCCCCGUGUGCCACGUCAACUCCCCUCUUAAACUCCCCUAACACCCCCAUUUGAUGGCGCCACUCCCCUCUUAACUCCCCUUAUUUUUUUAUUCAAAAAAAAAAAAAAAAAAAAACAAAGAAAAUCUGGGAUUGGUUGAAACUGGCAUGGCCCCACACAAUCAGCCUCUCCUCCAUCGGUGAACCCACGCCCAAGUUCAACCCCGAAUCGGGAUCCCGCUUUGAUGGCGGCGGUGUUCCCGAUCGGGGAAUGCCAUCACCGAACACCCUCCCCGAAGGCGCCCCGGACACCCUAAGGAUUAUACUUUUGACCCGUUUAGCUCAUAAACGGGGUUGAUUUGGGUUGUAUUUUGCCUCAAAAGGGUCCAAAGUUGUGAGAAAUUAUUUAGAAUGCUUGAAACCUUAUUAUCCAUUUUGCAUCAAAUAUAAACACUGGAUUCUGUUUGUAUGAGUAUGGUUCUUUAAUUCAUGAUGAUAUGCAAAAACAUGAAGUUUCUUAUUCGGUUCGAAUUCCAGUUCAAUUUCGAAAACGUCAACCCGAUCAACCUAUGCAAAUAACCUGAUAACCAGCCCGAUGAACACCCCUGGGACCCAUUUAAAAUAAAUCAAAACUCAAAUCAUUCUCUUUAUGAGCAAAUGGGUCGAACCAUAUAUUUCAUUUAAUUUAAAGGUUGGGUGAGCAAACUAUUUCCAGAAAAACAAGCACGGAUUCAAUCUCAACUAGGGAGAAAUAUGCAGAUAAUCACAAUUCAUUUUAGCUGUUGUAACUCAAUUUCAAAAGUGCUUUUAGGAAUUAUCAUUAAUGCUUCACAGUUGUUUAAACCUAUUCACUUUUUAUUCUCCUGGCGCGACUAGAAUCUAGCGAAUCACCGGAGGUUUUUGAGACUUGAAGUUAAAUCAAAGCUCGCUUAAGAAGCUAGCAGAAAAAAGGAUGCUGGAACAUAGCAGAUGAUAUGCAACUUCUUGAAUAUAGGGUAAGUGACUUCAAUUAAUUAACAUUUUUUGAAUAAAUUAGCAUGGAAUACAAGCAAGUAAGCAACAAAUGCCAUAUUAAAGGUAAAAAUGGUUAUUUUUGGUCCAAUCUACGAAUCUCAAGAAUGAUGUAUUAUGUAAAUACAGUUGUAGUGAAUAUAUUUGUUUGUAUAAUGUUCUU
This is a long non-coding RNA of Helianthus annuus (common sunflower), 3114 nucleotides long. RefSeq lists it as uncharacterized. The transcript is spliced from 3 exons. NCBI's taxonomy places the organism in Eukaryota, Viridiplantae, Streptophyta, Magnoliopsida, Asterales, Asteraceae. The record is from RefSeq and is a predicted model, not a curated record.